RNAcentral lists this ribosomal RNA (403 nucleotides) under uncultured Eubacteriales bacterium. Its description in RNAcentral is "bacterial SSU rRNA". It matches the Rfam family "Bacterial small subunit ribosomal RNA", at positions 356 to 774 of the family's 1533-position model. The record is from RNAcentral. Lineage: Bacteria; Bacillati; Bacillota; Clostridia; Eubacteriales.
GGGGAAUAUUGCGCAAUGGGGGCAACCCUGACGCAGCAAUGCCGCGUGAAGGAUGAAGGCUUUCGAGUCGUAAACUUCUGUCUAGAGGGAUGAAAAUUUGACAGUACCUCUGGAGGAAGCCCCGGCUAACUACGUGCCAGCAGCCGCGGUAAUACGUAGGGGGCAAGCGUUGUCCGGAAUCACUGGGCGUAAAGCGCGCGUAGGUGGUCUAGUAAGUCAGAUGUUAAAAUGCGGGGCUCAACCCCGUAAUGCAUUUUGAAACUGCUGGACUUGAGGACAGGAGAGGAAAGUGGAAUUCCUAGUGUAGCGGUGAAAUGCGUAGAUAUUAGGAGGAACACCAGUGGCGAAGGCGGCUUUCUGGACUGUACCUGACACUGAGGUGCGAAAGCGUGGGGAGCAAACA